CACUCCUUCACGCACGCAGCAGCACACACAGAGCGCAGCACAUGGUGCGGUAUGGCUAGCACCGCAGCACUCAGCUCGCCGGUGGAGGCGCGUGUGGCAUGGACGCCGAGCCCGAAGCCGAUCCCGGCAGCACUCAGCUCCGUCGAUCCUGGCAGCACGCGGCGGCCCAAGCCGUGGCUGCUGUAGAUGCGCUGGCUGCGUGGAGGCCGAGCCGCUCAACGCCGGCGACCGACCGUUGGCUGUGGCCAGCAGCACAAUGCGGUGGUGAGUCUGUGACAGAGGCGCCACACCCCAUUCACUCCGCUGCGUACGCUGACCCUCUCAGUAGAUCUGAGUGUUUCUUAGCAAGUUAAGGGGGAAACUUUAUUCCUAUUAUUUGAUCUGCGUGGCGUCUUGAGAAAUGAAGUUCCUUGGCUGAUUUAGAUAAAGCAGUGUUGCGUACAGCCACAACACCUUAUAGCAAUUGUUUUAUUGGUCUAUGGUAGGAAAAAAAUACCUCAUUGUUUCUUGUUUUUUUGGCUCUUUCAGAUACGUAAUCCCUUGGCCAAUGUGUAUAGGGCAGUACCAUAAACAGCCACAUUCUUGCCGUCUUGGUAAGUCUUGCUUCCAUAUGUUUUCACUAUAUUCCCUAUAAGCAUUGUUAGACCUUAUGCCAAUUAUUAUUCAUUGCGAUUAAUUUUAAAAAUUUGCAUUAAUGUGAGCAGUCAGCAUUAUCUCUUUAAGUAUAUUAGAUUUUGUCUCUGGAUUGGGACAAGCAGUAUUUGAGAGCUUUGCCGUAUGUGGUUUUAAGCUUUCACUGUAUAUAAACUUUUGUUUAGCCAUGUCAACCGAUAUGAGCUCUCACUACUGAAUAUUAUUUUUUUCAUAUAUAAAGCUUUUGCCAUAUUUAUGAACUUUUAUUUAGCCUUGCCAACCGAUGUGAUUCCUGACCUUAAGUAUUUGGUGCUCCAAUGCAGGUUGUGAUUCCUUUCUGAUGAAGAAAGGAGAGGGGUUCGGUCCAGAGAUAGCAUUUUUGGUGGUUUCUUUUUUUUAUGGCUCCUCUUUCUUGCUUGUGCAGUAUUUGCACAUUCCUAUCACUGCCACCAGAUUGCUUGUGCAUGAACUUGAUGCUAGCUAGCUAUAACUUGUCUCGUGCAAGAACUUGGUGGUAGCUUCUAGAGUUGUUUAUUUGGCUGGAUCAUUUUGUAUUGACACUUUGUUGUGCUUUUGUCUAGAGACAUGGCUGCAACAUGUGCUUUUGUAUGAGCUGGAAUAUUAUUUAUAUAUUUUGUUGUAUGGGUUGGUCAUCAU
Molecule: long non-coding RNA, 1290 nt
Filed under: Sorghum bicolor (sorghum)
Lineage: Eukaryota; Viridiplantae; Streptophyta; Magnoliopsida; Poales; Poaceae
Description: long non-coding RNA (SBIC_LNC002914)
Source: RNAcentral